RNAcentral lists this ribosomal RNA (587 nucleotides) under uncultured bacterium. RNAcentral describes it as "bacterial SSU rRNA". It matches the Rfam family "Bacterial small subunit ribosomal RNA", at positions 338 to 916 of the family's 1533-position model. The record is from RNAcentral.
CCUACGGGAGGCAGCAGUGGGGAAUAUUGGACAAUGGGCGCAAGCCUGAUCCAGCCAUACCGCGUGGGUGAAGAAGGCCUUCGGGUUGUAAAGCCCUUUUGUUGGGAAAGAAAAGCAGUCGAUUAAUACUCGGUUGUUCUGACGGUACCCAAAGAAUAAGCACCGGCUAACUUCGUGCCAGCAGCCGCGGUAAUACGAAGGGUGCAAGCGUUACUCGGAAUUACUGGGCGUAAAGCGUGCGUAGGUGGUUGUUUAAGUCUGUUGUGAAAGCCCUGGGCUCAACCUGGGAAUUGCAGUGGAUACUGGGCGACUAGAGUGUGGUAGAGGGUAGUGGAAUUCCCGGUGUAGCAGUGAAAUGCGUAGAGAUCGGGAGGAACAUCCAUGGCGAAGGCAGCUACCUGGACCAACACUGACACUGAGGCACGAAAGCGUGGGGAGCAAACAGGAUUAGAUACCCUGGUAGUCCACGCCCUAAACGAUGCGAACUGGAUGUUGGGUGCAAUUUGGCACGCAGUAUCGAAGCUAACGCGUUAAGUUCGCCGCCUGGGGAGUACGGUCGCAGACUGAAACUCAAAUGAAAUUGACGG